CCAAAUAAUCUGACUCCAGAGUCCUUACUUAGUUGCCUACUCUGCUAAAAUGCCUUUUCACAUUUGGACUCCCCACCAAAUCAAAGAACCCUUCAGAAGAGGGUCUUUGUUCUCCUCACAUUUGAUAUUUGAGUGCCUAUUUGUGCAGGUAUUUGUGCCAAGUGCUGAGCGAAGAGUUAUAAAAUAAGACAGUGUCUUUGCCAUUACAGAACUUAAAAACAGUAGGAAGAGGCAGACGUUAAAUAGAAAGCAUACAUAAUUACCUGACUUCAUUGUGACCAAAACUAUAAGGGGGAAGGCAGGAGCUGUUCUUAGAGUGACUGAAAAACGAUCCAGCCCAGACUCGGGGAGCCAAGAGAAAGGCUGAGACCCGACUCAAAAGCGAGCUUUGGCCGCGUGAGAAAUGGCAGGAAGGAGCCUGCUGGCGCGCGUCCGACUCCUGAGCCUGCAGCCCGGCACAGGACGCGCUGGGCUAGUAUAGCAUUGAGAAAAUAAAAGCCGAUAAUCCUAGGUCUACAUUUUGAGUGGAAAAGAAGCUGACCACGCUCACCGCAGACGUGCUGACGGCGAUGACUACAGUCCUAAGAGCUGCGGGAGGGCUGGAGCGGGGACGGGUCCUGUCCUGGAAGGCCGAGGACGCCAGGCGCUGCUGAGGGGUCGGAGUGGAGUGCUGGGCGAGAGAAGCUUGUAAGAAUUUCCUCAGGGAUUCUGCCCUCGAGCUGCGCCUGGCCGCGUGCUGGAUGCUGACGCAGGAGGAGAAGCGCCACGGGUUUCCCGCGUAGGAAGCGGCAGGAUCCAGGGCACAGCGGACCGGGGUUCAGGGCACUCGGAAUUGGCCCAGCAUCUUGGCUGGCCAGAAACUAGGCUAAGGCGUUGCUUAGAGUGAGUUAGGUUGUGGAGAGUGUCGAAUACCAGGCUCAGGUGUUAGAAAUGCAUUGAAUCAUCAGUGCAGGCUAUUCACGUGUAAUAUGGCUAGAACAGUGUUCAGGGCAGUGUCUAUACCGUAUAGAGUGGAUUAAAGGGCCAAAGAGAUGAAAGAAUACAGGUGACUAGAAUACGUGAAUCUAGCAAAAUGUAAUAUAAUCUGUGAAAAUAUGAUUAAAAAUAGGGCUGACAUUGUACUAAAAUCUGUGAAAAUGUGAUUGAAAAAGGGAUGAUAUCGCCAUGGGAGGUCUUUUGGAAAAUAAACGGGAUUGUGAAAUACCGUUUUGGAAUAGGCGGAGGAAAAGGAGUUAGAAGAGGAGCUGCUCAGGGAGCGCCCAGAUGGUUCAAACAUCAUAAAAGCUACGGUGUUUCAGGAGAGGGAACAGGUGACUAGCAGAUGCUGCAGAGAGCCAAAAGAGGGUAAGAACUAAGGUGAUGCUGGAAUUAGGGGGAAUGGCAGGAGGACAAGAGAGAGACGUUACCUGUGGACAGUCCUUUCCAGUGGUUCAGAAGAGUUGGUAGACUGAAAAUAGAAAUAAUCUCUUUUGAGAAUUGUGAUACUGCAGGAAAGGAAAAAGGAUACUGAUUGAACUAAGCAAAAGAAUUGAAAGUAUUUUUUUUUAAAAGGGUAGUGGAGGCCUAAUUAAAUUUGUAGAAAAAAGGGUAAAGUUUAAUAGGGACAAGAAAUUGAAGAUGGGAGAAAAGAGAGCCAGCUGAUGGGGAGGGAAUGAGACAAGAUAGGCUCGUGAAGUUGUCUCAGAAAAGAAGGGAGAGAUUUGUUCCUGAAUAGGAGGAAAAUGGAGGGUGAGUGAAGACAGAAAUACUGCAAGAGAGAAGUUGAAGGUGUUUAUGUCAGAUGACUCUGACCACAAAGGUGUUAAUCAGAAGAUGUUACAACCAAUGACUGAAAGAGACAACUAGGUAUUUCAAGUUAUGUUCUGUAUCUACUAUCAAUAUAGAAGCCAUUAACCACAUAUGGCUAUGUGUAGAAAACAGCCUGUUUUCUACAUGGCAUGACAAGAGUAAUGCCAUCUUGAAGUGAAACCAUCAUAACGACCAGUGUUUCACUCUUGUAUACCAAGGCAUUCCCCCAGCAAGGUCAAGAAACAAUGCCUCUAGGAUAGAUAACCUCUCAAAAAGAAACAAUACCUGUGGCAUACAAAACCCCUCAUAAAAAUGCUUAUCUAACUUUCUCACUGGUCAGAGUUUUGCAAGAGGAUCUCAGACAUAACCAGCUGCUCAUGUUUUACCAAAAAAAAAGCUUGCUAUAGGAAGAAUACUUUCUGCAAGGCAGGUAUGGAGAUCCAUCAUCUUAAGUCCCUACUAAAUGUUUCUUUCUGAGAAGCUACAUUUGUCUGUUCAGCUACCUAAACCCUUAGGGGCAGGUUUACAUAUACUUGCUUACUUGAUAUAUGGCUGAUAGGAACUGAGGAAGUAAAAUUUUCAUUUCAUUGAAUUUUAAUUAAUUUACAUUUAAAUUGCCACAUGGGAUUAGUGGUUCCAUAGUGGACAGUGAAGCUAGCCUAUACUGGUUAAAAACCCAAUGAGUGAAAUGAACAAAGUAAACACAGCAGAUUUCUAAUGAAGCAGAUCAAAUAAUGAGUGGCCAAAAAAAAAAAAAGACUACAAAGUUGUUUUCUAUGUAAAAGUACAUAAGAGCAUACUCAAUUUGUUCAUUUCUGUAAAGGAUCGAGCAACACAGUGUUUUAUGUAAGUACCCAAUUUCCCCAUUUUUAAUGAACAAAUACAUACCAAUACCUGCUAACACUGUGGGGUGGGGAGGGGAGAGUGAUACAUACCUAAGAAAAUUAGUGACUUCAGUAAUAAACACUUCUCUAUCAUUUAUUUUCUUUUAAAAAAAUGUAUUAACAUCUGAAUAUAUUAAUGCAUGACCUUUAGAUAAUAAAGUAUCAAUUUUGGUCAAUUUUGACAAAUAUAUCAAUGAAAGAUGUUAAUAUAAAGAAAUGUAUGUGAAGGUA
Molecule: long non-coding RNA, 2903 nt
Organism: Cebus imitator (Panamanian white-faced capuchin)
Lineage: Eukaryota; Metazoa; Chordata; Mammalia; Primates; Cebidae
Exons: 2
Source: RefSeq, a predicted model, not a curated record